UACGUAGGUGGCGAGCGUUAUCCGGUUUUACUGGGUGUAAAGGGCGCGUAGGCGGGGAUGCAAGUCAGAUGUGAAAUCUAUGGGCUCAACCCAUAAACUGCAUUUGAAACUGUAUUUCUUGAGUGCUGGAGAGGUAGACGGAAUUCCUUGUGUAGCGGUGAAAUGCGUAGAUAUAAGGAAGAACACCAGUGGCGAAGGCGGUCUACUGGACAGUAACUGACGCUGAGGCGCGAAAGCCGGGGGAGCGAAC
RNAcentral lists this ribosomal RNA (250 nucleotides) under uncultured prokaryote. RNAcentral describes it as "partial 16S ribosomal RNA". It matches the Rfam family "Bacterial small subunit ribosomal RNA", at positions 524 to 773 of the family's 1533-position model. The record is from RNAcentral.